AUACGGAGGGUGCAAGCGUUGUUCGGAAUUAUUGGGCGUAAAGCGCGUGUAGGCGGUCUGUUAAGUCUGGUGUGAAAGCCCUGGGCUCAACCCAGGAAGUGCAUUGGAUACUGGCAGACUUGAGUAUGGGAGAGGAAAGCGGAAUUCCGAGUGUAGGAGUGAAAUCCGUAGAUAUUCGGAGGAACACCAGUGGCGAAGGCGGCUUUCUGGACCAAUACCGACGCUGAGACGCGAAAGCGUGGGGAGCAAACAGGAUUAGAAACCCCAGUAGUCC
This 274-nucleotide ribosomal RNA is filed under the name uncultured bacterium. RNAcentral's name for it is "partial 16S ribosomal RNA". It matches the Rfam family "Bacterial small subunit ribosomal RNA", at positions 523 to 796 of the family's 1533-position model. The record is from RNAcentral.